This 119-nucleotide ribosomal RNA is filed under the name Periophthalmus magnuspinnatus. Lineage: Eukaryota; Metazoa; Chordata; Actinopteri; Gobiiformes; Gobiidae. The record is from RNAcentral.
UUAGGUGGCCAUACCAUGUUGUCAAAGUAUGAUCUCGUAAAAAGUCAGAAGCUAAGCAAGGCCGGGCCAGGUUAGUAGCUGGAUGGGAGACUGCUGGGAUAUCCCAGGGCAGCUGUGGC